UACGUAGGGGGCAAGCGUUGUCCGGAUUUAUUGGGCGUAAAGAGCGUGUAGGCGGCUUUACAGGUCCGUUGUGAAAACUCGAGGCUCAACCUCGAGACGCCGGUGGAAACCGUAAGGCUAGAGUCCGGAAGAGGAGAGUGGAAUUCCUGGUGUAGCGGUGAAAUGCGCAGAUAUCAGGAGGAACACCCGUGGCGAAAGCGGCUCUCUGGGACGGUACUGACGCUGAUGCGCGAAAGCGUGGGGAGCAAACGGG
Molecule: ribosomal RNA, 253 nt
Filed under: uncultured bacterium
Lineage: Bacteria
Description: partial 16S ribosomal RNA
Rfam family: Bacterial small subunit ribosomal RNA
Source: RNAcentral